UUCAGGUUCAGAAAAUACAGAAUCUGACACCCAAUAGUGGAGUUGUCUACAGUGGAAUGGGUCCUGACUUUUGAGUUUUGGUUCGGAAAAGUAGGAAGCAAGCAGAACAAUAUCAUAGACUGUAC
Long non-coding RNA from Populus euphratica (Euphrates poplar), 125 nucleotides. RefSeq lists it as uncharacterized. The record is from RefSeq and is a predicted model, not a curated record. NCBI's taxonomy places the organism in Eukaryota, Viridiplantae, Streptophyta, Magnoliopsida, Malpighiales, Salicaceae. The transcript is spliced from 2 exons.